Molecule: ribosomal RNA, 253 nt
Filed under: uncultured bacterium
Lineage: Bacteria
Description: partial 16S ribosomal RNA
Rfam family: Bacterial small subunit ribosomal RNA
Source: RNAcentral
UACGAAGGGGGCUAGCGUUGCUCGGAAUCACUGGGCGUAAAGCGCACGUAGGCGGACUCUUAAGUCGGUGGUGAAAUCCUGGAGCUCAACUCCAGAACUGCCUUCGAUACUGAGAGUCUCGAGUCCGGGAGAGGAGACUGGAAUUUACGGUGUAGCGGUGAAAUGCGUAGAUAUCGUAAGGAAGACCAGUGGCGAAGGCGGGUCUCUGGACAGUUCCUGACGCUGAGGCGCGAAAGCUAGGGGAGCGAACAGG